CCGGCCCGCCCACGCGGGGCCGCGGCACCUGGGCCCCUCCUCGGCCUUUUCCGGUACCUCGCCGGCUUUCAGAUGCAUUAGUGAGCGGCCUGCAGUCUCCUGUUGUGCUUCUGGUGGCCGCCCUUGGCUCCGUGAUCGUUUCAUUUUGUAGUGAGAUUUAUGGGGCUUCCCACCCCCAAGAUUUACCAAAAGCAGCAUCCGGGGCCGCACGAUAGCCAGCGCUGCCAUCCUGGAGCUCUUGAGUUCUGAGACUGAACACCGCUCCCAAAAGUCACCGAAAUGUCUUCUAAGGGUCUUGAGGACGAACUUAAGAGUCCAUUUUUAAUACGUUCCUUUGGAGAGUGUUAGGCGUGUGGGAAAACGUUGCCAAAGCAGAGAUUUCGAGAUUUGAACGGGCAGAAAACCAAAUUAAAAAAAAACAAACCAGAUAUGGUAAACAACAGGGUCUUUUUAUAAAGUGAUGCUCCGUAUUGGAAUAAAAUACUGCCAGACCUAGGAAGGCUUAUCCUGACUUGCGGUGGCUAAUGGGCCCCGAACUUAGGCAAGACCCUCCCUUCUCUGGGCCUGGUCGUGUCUGUAAAUGGGGCGUCGCUGGAAUGCGGUUCCGACGUGCGGUGGGUCCGUGUUAGCUGGAAAGGGUUAAGCCACCAAAACCGCCUGAGCGUUUAGGAGAGGAGAGAACCUGUAGAUAAAGUGGGAACUUUAUCCUGACCUUGUGGAUCGAAUCCUGGAGUGAAGUUACUCCAUUUCUUUCGCAGAAGAACUUUACAAAGAAAAGAAUUCACCAGACCUUGUGGAAAUCGCUCUGACCUUUGCGAUCUUACUUCAGAUCAGAGUGGGAACUUGGGUAAACCCUACCAUCAAAUAAAUUCCGUGUUCUAAGACCUUGUUUAGUGUCUUAUAAAGCAAAGUAACAGGAUGGUAGUGUGUUUAGCUCAAAACUGACUUAUAUUCUGUCUUCACUUAAAUCCGUAGAGUCUUAGACCAUUUUUUAAAUUUUGGCGUGCAAAACUUUAACCUCAGGAAAUAUGAAGAAUUCUGCGUGAAUACUGUAAGGAGUUUAUCCUUGGGAAUUCCGAAAUGACAGGCUCCCAGAAUCCAAAGAAAGUGGUUCCCUGUUACCCUUACUUUAUGCUAAUCAAGGAGUGGAAUGGGAUGCUGGGUAAUGAUGAGUUUGCUUUUUAUUUUGGAGGAGUAAUUUCAAAACAUUCAGAGAGCCCUGGCCGGGUAAUUCAUUUAGGUGGAGCAUCAUCCUGUAAAGUGGAGGGUUGUGGGCUUGAUUCCUGGGCAGGGCACAUGCCUAGGUUGUGGGUCUCAUCGCCCUGGAGCGCUUGCAGGAGGCAAUCGGUGGGUUUCUCUCUCACAGGAGAGGGCCUGAAUACCGAAAAUAAAAACAUGGGUCCCUGUUUCUUCCAGAGGUGGAAUCUGUCUUCUUAAAGUAUGGACUUUGAUCCUAAACAAAAUGUUUGCUUCUCAGUAGUUAUUGAGCACAUUUAUGAGGAACCAGUGACCACUAGGCUAUAGUAUAAGUUCAGAAAAAAGCAAGAGCCACCAAGCUAGGUCGUUCCCUUUUAGCUAAUGAUAACUAGACUAGACAACAUCAGGAGGGAUGAGAGAAGGUACCUAAAAUAUUUAAUCAUCUCCUGUUUUUGUUAUUGUUAUGGCAAACUUAUUACAUGCCAGGCACUGUUUUAAGUGUUUUGCACAGGUUUCUUACUUUAAUCCUCAUAACCAGUAAAUUAGGUGCAACUAUUCCCAUUUUACAGAUGUGGAAUCUGGGGCACAAAGAGGUUAAGGAACUUGCCUGCAGAGCUAGAAGUGGCAGUGCUGAAAUUUGAACCCAGGCAGUGUGGCUUCAAAGCCUGCCUCCCUAACAAUUGUGCCAUACCACUGUGUGUGUGUGUGUGUGUGUGUGUGUGUGUUCUAAUUAGGUGAAAUCAAAGCUGGUUUACUACCGAAAGAGUCAAAUGCAGGCUGAAGGGAAGUCUGUACUGAUGUGCCAUUUCGUUCUACCCCAACUUUGUACUUUUCAGAAGUUGAUGAAAUUAUAAAAUGUGUCCCUGACCUAACUCUGGGACCGCUUUGUGGAGUGGAUGGGUUGAAUCAGAAUCCUGAUCAAUCCCAACCUGCUGGAAUGGUGAAUCAGCUUUUACAAAAAGAGACACAAUGUCUUGCUGAGGUGUGGAAAAAUCAAUGAUACACGUGAGAGAUAAUAAAAGGGCAGUUUUCAUUGAUGGUGAACUCAGUAUGAAUCGGCUGGAUACUGUGAGUGCCCUACAGCUAAUGUAUUGGGUUCUGUACUGUGUCUCCAGAAUGAGGAAGUAGAUAGCCCAGCUCAGUUUCAGGAUGAUGAGGCUAUAUCUGAAGUAUUUUUGUUUGUUUGUUUGCUUCUGAGCACCAAAAAUGACCAAAUAGUGAGGAAAUUUGAAGUCAUACUAUAUGAAGAGUAGUUAAAUGAACUGGCUUCUUCUGUAUCUUUGUGUUUACAGUUUCUAGUGAAUGUGCACAGUGAGUACCCAGUAAUACAUGGUGAAUACACACACUUAAGCAUUAUUGAAUGUAGCCUUUAAAUGGUUAUGAUGGAAUCAUAAUACCCAAAGCAAUCUAUACAUUCAGUGCAAUCCCUAUUAAAAUACCAAUGGCAUAUUUCACAGAUCUAGAACAGCACUCCAUAAAUUCAUAUGGAACCAAAAAAGAUACCGAAUAACUGCAGCAAUCUUGAGAAAGAACAAAGUUAGAGGAAUCACAAUACCAGAUUUCAAGUUAUACUACAAAGCCACUGCACUCAAAACAGUCUGGUACUGGCAUAAGAACAGGCACAAAGAACAGAACAGAUACCCCAGAAAGCAACCAAGCCAUUACACUCAAUUAAUAUUUGACAGAGGAGGCAAGGAUAUACAAUGGAGUAUAGACAGCCUCUUCAAUAAAUGGUGCUGGGAAAAUUGGACAGGAACAUGCAAAAAAAAUGAAA
Myotis daubentonii (Daubenton's bat) is the source of this 2971-nucleotide long non-coding RNA. RefSeq lists it as uncharacterized. NCBI's taxonomy places the organism in Eukaryota, Metazoa, Chordata, Mammalia, Chiroptera, Vespertilionidae. The transcript is spliced from 2 exons. The record is from RefSeq and is a predicted model, not a curated record.